AUCUUGGAAAGGAGGGCGACAAGCUUUGGAGGGUGGAGAAUAACCCAGUUGAAAAUCUACAAGCAAUGCUGUCCACAUCCCAAAUAGACUGGUCAAAAAGCCUUCAUCCCGUCAGUCACUGACAUCAACUUCAUCCAAAUCAGACUCCUAAAAACCCGGCCUAACUUAUGUGUCAUGCAAAGGAUGGCUCUUGGAAAAAUGCAAAGGGGCCGCUAAGGGAGAGAUGUGAAGGUCAAGGAAGCUCUGAGCUCCUGACAGCCGCCCUUCCAGCCUUCUCCUGCCUUCCAUAGAGAGAUGCUAUGGACUCUUGGUCCAGAGACUCAAAUUCAAGGAAAAGAAGAGGCAACAUUUGCAGUGUUGAUCCUUGAGUUGAACAAAGAGUGGUCAGGAGAAGAAACCAACAAGAAAUGUAACCUACCUCCAGAACUCAGGAACUCAGGUACCCUUAAGGAUAUCAGAAACAAUGAAAUAUGGAUUGGCAGAAGCAUCUUCACCACCAUCUUCAGAUGUAAUUAAUGCAGCUGUUGAAUUUGGUUGACUAUCCACCUAUAAUUACCACAUUGCCCAUUACAGAUUUUUGCUGCCUUUUCUUGCCUCCUUUUCAUUUUUACAUCCACUUAUUCCCUACAGAAAUGACAGAUAAUCAGCAUUUUUGUUUUCUUGUUAUGUUGUCCUGAUAGUACAGCUACAAAUGGAUUUGAUGUGCUGAAUAAUGGUCUACUAGGCCUAAAAAUGAAAGUCUAGACCCUUAGUCAAAAAUAACUUGGAUCUAUGUGGUACCAAGAAAAGAGGAAUUAUAAGAAAAAGAAUAUUAGUUUAAUGUUCUGUAAAUUUUUUUCUUAACCUAUUCUGUCCAGUAUUUACUACUUGGCUGCAUUCCUAAAACAUAAAUUUCACAGGGGCAGGAGUCUUUGUCCAUUUUGCUCAUUAAUGUGUUAGGAAUACUAAAAAGAGUGUCUAGCGGGGUAGUCACAUAAUAAAUACCUGUUGCAUGAACAAA
Molecule: long non-coding RNA, 1000 nt
Filed under: Homo sapiens (human)
Lineage: Eukaryota; Metazoa; Chordata; Mammalia; Primates; Hominidae
Description: long intergenic non-protein coding RNA 2654
Source: RNAcentral